This 282-nucleotide long non-coding RNA is filed under the name Sorghum bicolor (sorghum). RNAcentral's name for it is "long non-coding RNA (SBIC_LNC018794)". Lineage: Eukaryota; Viridiplantae; Streptophyta; Magnoliopsida; Poales; Poaceae. The record is from RNAcentral.
AAUACGAGGAAAUAAAAAGGGGCAAGUGCCCGGAACCUCGAAAGAAAAGAAAAAAAGUGAGACGAGAGGUAAAAAUGGACAAGUGUCCAACUGUAGAAUUAGGGGUACCAGAUACCCACCUGAGAGAAAAGAAAAAGAAAAUAGAGAGCAUCUCAUUCUCUCAAAAAGCCUCAAGUGCAAGAAAGGUAUGUAUCCCUUCAAAAGAGCAUACAUAGAAUUAUACUUUCACCAUUGUUAUCACCAUCAUCACCAUUGUUAUCACCAUUCAUUCGCCACACAUGC